CGCUGGCGGCGUGCCUAAUACAUGCAAGUCGAACGAACUCUGGUAUUGAUUGGUGCUUGCAUCAUGAUUUACAUUUGAGUGAGUGGCGAACUGGUGAGUAACACGUGGGAAACCUGCCCAGAAGCGGGGGAUAACACCUGGAAACAGAUGCUAAUACCGCAUAACAACUUGGACCGCAUGGUCCGAGCUUGAAAGAUGGCUUCGGCUAUCACUUUUGGAUGGUCCCGCGGCGUAUUAGCUAGAUGGUGGGGUAACGGCUCACCAUGGCAAUGAUACGUAGCCGACCUGAGAGGGUAAUCGGCCACAUUGGGACUGAGACACGGCCCAAACUCCUACGGGAGGCAGCAGUAGGGAAUCUUCCACAAUGGACGAAAGUCUGAUGGAGCAACGCCGCGUGAGUGAAGAAGGGUUUCGGCUCGUAAAACUCUGUUGUUAAAGAAGAACAUAUCUGAGAGUAACUGUUCAGGUAUUGACGGUAUUUAACCAGAAAGCCACGGCUAACUACGUGCCAGCAGCCGCGGUAAUACGUAGGUGGCAAGCGUUGUCCGGAUUUAUUGGGCGUAAAGCGAGCGCAGGCGGUUUUUUAAGUCUGAUGUGAAAGCCUUCGGCUCAACCGAAGAAGUGCAUCGGAAACUGGGAAACUUGAGUGCAGAAGAGGACAGUGGAACUCCAUGUGUAGCGGUGAAAUGCGUAGAUAUAUGGAAGAACACCAGUGGCGAAGGCGGCUGUCUGGUCUGUAACUGACGCUGAGGCUCGAAAGUAUGGGUAGCAAACAGGAUUAGAUACCCUGGUAGUCCAUACCGUAAACGAUGAAUGCUAAGUGUUGGAGGGUUUCCGCCCUUCAGUGCUGCAGCUAACGCAUUAAGCAUUCCGCCUGGGGAGUACGGCCGCAAGGCUGAAACUCAAAGGAAUUGACGGGGGCCCGCACAAGCGGUGGAGCAUGUGGUUUAAUUCGAAGCUACGCGAAGAACCUUACCAGGUCUUGACAUACUAUGCAAAUCUAAGAGAUUAGACGUUCCCUUCGGGGACAUGGAUACAGGUGGUGCAUGGUUGUCGUCAGCUCGUGUCGUGAGAUGUUGGGUUAAGUCCCGCAACGAGCGCAACCCUUAUUAUCAGUUGCCAGCAUUAAGUUGGGCACUCUGGUGAGACUGCCGGUGACAAACCGGAGGAAGGUGGGGAUGACGUCAAAUCAUCAUGCCCCUUAUGACCUGGGCUACACACGUGCUACAAUGGAUGGUACAACGAGUUGCGAACUCGCGAGAGUAAGCUAAUCUCUUAAAGCCAUUCUCAGUUCGGAUUGUAGGCUGCAACUCGCCUACAUGAAGUCGGAAUCGCUAGUAAUCGCGGAUCAGCAUGCCGCGGUGAAUACGUUCCCGGGCCUUGUACACACCGCCCGUCACACCAUGAGAGUUUGUAACACCCAAAGUCGGUGGGGUAACCUUUUAGGAACCAGCCGCCUAAGGUGGGACAGAUGAUUAGGGUGAAG
Molecule: ribosomal RNA, 1486 nt
Filed under: Lactiplantibacillus plantarum
Lineage: Bacteria; Bacillati; Bacillota; Bacilli; Lactobacillales; Lactobacillaceae
Description: Lactobacillus plantarum 16S ribosomal RNA
Rfam family: Bacterial small subunit ribosomal RNA
Source: RNAcentral